This 301-nucleotide ribosomal RNA is filed under the name uncultured bacterium. RNAcentral describes it as "partial 16S ribosomal RNA". It matches the Rfam family "Bacterial small subunit ribosomal RNA", at positions 509 to 807 of the family's 1533-position model. The record is from RNAcentral.
CAGCAGCCGCGGUAAUACAGAGGAUGCAAGCGUUGUCCGGAAUUAUUGGGCGUAAAGGGCUCGCAGGCGGUUUCUUAAGUCUGAUGUGAAAGCCCCCGGCUCAACCGGGGAGGGUCAUCGGAAACUGGGAAACUUGAGUGCAGAAGAAGAGAGUGGAAUUCCACGUGUAGCGGUGAAAUGCGUAGAGAUGUGGAGGAACACCAGUGGCGAAGGCGACUCUCUGGUCUGUAACUGACGCUGAGGAGCGAAAGCGUGGGGAGCGAACAGGAUUAGAUACCCCUGUAGUCCCUGUCUCUUAUAC